RNAcentral lists this ribosomal RNA (310 nucleotides) under Pseudomonas sp. EP_S_97. RNAcentral's name for it is "bacterial SSU rRNA". It matches the Rfam family "Bacterial small subunit ribosomal RNA", at positions 50 to 354 of the family's 1533-position model. The record is from RNAcentral. Lineage: Bacteria; Pseudomonadati; Pseudomonadota; Gammaproteobacteria; Pseudomonadales; Pseudomonadaceae.
UGCAAUCCUAGACGUGCAAGUCGAGCGGCAGCGGGUCCUUCGGGAUGCCGGCGAGCGGCGGACGGGUGAGUAAUGCCUAGGAAUCUGCCUGAUAGUGGGGGAUAACGUUCGGAAACGGACGCUAAUACCGCAUACGUCCUACGGGAGAAAGCGGGGGAUCUUCGGACCUCGCGCUAUCAGAUGAGCCUAGGUCGGAUUAGCUAGUUGGUGAGGUAAUGGCUCACCAAGGCGACGAUCCGUAACUGGUCUGAGAGGAUGAUCAGUCACACUGGAACUGAGACACGGUCCAGACUCCUACGGGAGGCAGCAG